Molecule: ribosomal RNA, 755 nt
Filed under: Salmonella enterica
Lineage: Bacteria; Pseudomonadati; Pseudomonadota; Gammaproteobacteria; Enterobacterales; Enterobacteriaceae
Also listed under: 1 other name
Description: partial 23S ribosomal RNA
Rfam family: Bacterial large subunit ribosomal RNA
Source: RNAcentral
AAAUACUCCUGACUGACCGAUAGUGAACCAGUACCGUGAGGGAAAGGCGAAAAGAACCCCGGCGAGGGGAGUGAAAAAGAACCUGAAACCGUGUACGUACAAGCAGUGGGAGCACAGGUUUACCUGUGUGACUGCGUACCUUUUGUAUAAUGGGUCAGCGACUUAUAUUCUGUAGCAAGGUUAACCGAAUAGGGGAGCCGGAGGGAAACCGAGUCUUAAUUGGGCGUUAAGUUGCAGGGUAUAGACCCGAAACCCGGUGAUCUAGCCAUGGGCAGGUUGAAGGUUGGGUAACACUAACUGGAGGACCGAACCGACUAAUGUUGAAAAAUUAGCGGAUGACCUGUGGCUGGGGGUGAAAGGCCAAUCAAACCGGGAGAUAGCUGGUUCUCCCCGAAAGCUAUUUAGGUAGCGCCUCGUGAAUUCAUCUCCGGGGGUAGAGCACUGUUUCGGCUAGGGGGCCAUCCCGGCUUACCAACCCGAUGCAAACUGCGAAUACCGGAGAAUGUUAUCACGGGAGACACACGGCGGGUGCUAACGUCCGUCGUGAAGAGGGAAACAACCCAGACCGCCAGCUAAGGUCCCAAAGUCAUGGUUAAGUGGGAAACGAUGUGGGAAGGCCCAGACAGCCAGGAUGUUGGCUUAGAAGCAGCCAUCAUUUAAAGAAAGCGUAAUAGCUCACUGGUCGAGUCGGCCUGCGCGGAAGAUGUAACGGGGCUAAACCAUGCACCGAAGCUGCGGCAGCGACGCUUAUGCGU